AGCGAACGCUGGCGGCAGGCUUAACACAUGCAAGUCGAACGGGCGUAGCAAUACGUCAGUGGCAGACGGGUGAGUAACGCGUGGGAACGUACCUUUUGGUUCGGAACAACCCAGGGAAACUUGGGCUAAUACCGGAUAAGCCCUUACGGGGAAAGAUUUAUCGCCGAAAGAUCGGCCCGCGUCUGAUUAGCUAGUUGGUGUGGUAACGGCGCACCAAGGCGACGAUCAGUAGCUGGUCUGAGAGGAUGAUCAGCCACAUUGGGACUGAGACACGGCCCAAACUCCUACGGGAGGCAGCAGUGGGGAAUAUUGGACAAUGGGCGGCAAGCCUGAUCCAGCCAUGCCGCGUGAGUGAUGAAGGCCCUAGGGUUGUAAAGCUCUUUUGUGCGGGAAGAUAAUGACGGUACCGCAAGAAUAAGCCCCGGCUAACUUCGUGCCAGCCGCCG
Molecule: ribosomal RNA, 446 nt
Filed under: uncultured bacterium
Lineage: Bacteria
Description: bacterial SSU rRNA
Rfam family: Bacterial small subunit ribosomal RNA
Source: RNAcentral